AUGGAGUCUCCUUUCCUGGAGGUUUAUAAGAGGCUAGGUGGCUAUCUGUUGGGAGGGCUUCGAUUGUGCCUUCCUGCAUGGCAGAAAGGGGCUGGACUGGAUAGCCCUCCAAUCCUAGAAUCUACUAUUCCAGUUGGCCCAGAAAAGUACAAAUCCCAGGAUUUUAUUCCUGCCCAUUCGAACCCUGGCUCUGGAGGGAUCCCUUCCGCACUUGUCUGGUUUGGAAGCCUACAGGCCUGUCAUCUUUUGCAGGCUGUGAGCCUGUUCCCAGAUCCUGCAGCCAAGGAAUUUCUCAAAGACAAGGCAAGGGAAGUCAUACAUUUUGCCCACGUGCUGCAAGAAAAAGAACAACAGCAAGUCAAAGUGUCCCGGCUCGAGGCUGAGAAUCGGCGUCUGCAGCAAGAGCUCCAGGAGGCCAAGAGAAGCCAGAGGCCUUUUACAUUUCCAUGGUCUAAAACAGAUUUCCAUGUCCAGAUCCAUGUCACUGGGCGGACUGAAAACUGUGAAAAAAGGUUCUUAAAGAAAGUCUCUGGCCGCCUUUCUGAUCAAAAUAUCAACCUCAAGGUGGAGAAGUACCGAGAGGGCUCCGGCCACUUGCUGCUGGUCUUCUGCCCAGUGUCCACCCGGGUGGGCACCGACAUGGACAACGCUCUUGAGGAUCUCAAAGGUGAGCCAAAGGUUGUCUUGGUGAUGCUGCACCACAAACCGAAGGAGAACACCUCCUUUGUGGACACCAAGCUGCAGGCGCAACACCCAGACGUGGUGUGCACUGUCCACGCUCGCUACACCAUCCAAGAAGGCUUCUACACCUGCCAGAUGAAUGAGGACGCCGUGGCCAUUGUGGCUGAAGUCCUUGAAGACCUCUGCAAAGGGGGGAAGGGUCACCCCGCAAUCCCUGGCGCGCCGUCCAAGUCUCGGAAGCUGCACUGAUUUCAGGAUGCUGCUAACUGCCAGGCAUCUCACUAUUGGGAGGAAAAGGACAUAAAGGAUAAGAAUGUUGGUGACUAUUAUAUUAAUUAUCCUAAAAUUAUUAUUCCACUGGGCUCUGUGUACGCACAGAUUCAACUUUCAGGUCAGCAACCUAACCUUUAAGUCACCAGUCCUGCCAACACAAAGAUUUAACCCACUGCGCCACUAGGGGAUCCUUAUGUUUAUAUUGAUGUUGUUUCAUUCAAUGGUUUGAUUUGGGGGUUUGUUUUGUAAAUUAUUUUUAUUCCCCAAAAAAAGAAUUUUUAAACAUACAAAAAACAGUAGUAAUGGGGGCAGGAAAGUCUUGGGGUCUAAAACCCCAGCGUAAGGGUUAUCUAACUGGGAGUGGUAGGGAAUGAACAGGUAGGAUAGGUUUGAUUUGGUUUUUGUUUUCAUUUUGGCAUUUGAAUGUUUGCCACUUUUUGUUUGGAAACCGUCCUGAGUCCCCUCGGGGAGAUAGGGUGGGUUAUAAAUAAAGAUUGUUGUUGUUGUUAUUAUGUGUGCCAAGUCUGGUCGAGAUCUGUUGUUGGCGGGAAUUGCAGGGUUCUCUGGAUACGAGGUGUACUAUAACUCCCACCAUCUGAGGUCAGUUGCCCCACAAACCUUCCAGUAUUUUCUGUUGGUCUUGAGAAGUCUCAAGUUUGGCCCAGUUAGUAGUUUGUGUUAAUGUGGAAUGUGUGUAUUGAUAGUGUUUAAAUGCAAUUUGUGUCUUGGUUUGUAUUGCAUACUGAUUGCAUCAUCCAGAGUGUAACAUAGUCUGUAAAGAGUUAAUUACUGAGAAGCUGUGAUGACCUUGAUGUGUGGCUGGAACUAGGGAGUGUCCAGACACAAGUGUGUGUAUGCAUUACUGAUUGCAUCUGUUCUGUUCUGUUUGCCUAGAGUGAGAGUCCUGUGUUUGUCUGCAAGUCUGUUUGUCUUGUACAGUAAAACUUUGUAUAUAGUUUUACCAAAGUCUCUGGAUGUCACUUCGUUCUGCAUCCCACUGACUCCAUCUACUGCUGCGCUGCAAAUUACUCUGACAGUUUGAAUGG
RNAcentral lists this long non-coding RNA (2000 nucleotides) under Anolis carolinensis (green anole). RNAcentral describes it as "lncRNA (ENSACAG00000039384.1)". The record is from RNAcentral. Lineage: Eukaryota; Metazoa; Chordata; Lepidosauria; Squamata; Anolidae.